Molecule: unclassified non-coding RNA, 309 nt
Filed under: plant metagenome
Description: partial contains 5.8S ribosomal RNA, internal transcribed spacer 2, and large subunit ribosomal RNA
Rfam family: 5.8S ribosomal RNA (bases 1-105)
Source: RNAcentral
GAAAUGCGAUAAGUAGUGUGAAUUGCAGAAUUCAGUGAAUCAUCGAAUCUUUGAACGCACAUUGCGCCCCUUGGUAUUCCAUGGGGCAUGCCUGUUCGAGCGUCAUUUGUACCCUCAAGCUCUGCUUGGUGUUGGGUGUUUGUCCCGUCUCCGCGCGUGGACUCGCCCCAAAGUGAUUGGCAGCCGGCGUACUGGUCCCGGAGCGCAGCACAUGUCGCGCAAACGAGUGCCUUGGUACGGCGGCGUCCAUAAGCCCCUCUCUCACGCUCUUGACCUCGGAUCAGGUAGGGAUGCCCGCAGAACUUAAGC